GCUGUUUGUGAGUGAUUUUGAGUGUGGUGUGAGUUUUUGUUGUGUGGAGUAAAAAAGAGUGAGAAGUAAAGAGUGUUGUGAGUUGUGUGUGUUUUAUAUUUUUCUUUAGGGAUAUUUUAGAUAAUGUACCACAUAAAAAGGUAUAUCUAGAUAAUUUUCAAGCAUGGGGUAUAUUUAACUAAAUACUCUACUUUUAAGGCAUAUUUAAUUAAAAACCCCAUCUCUAGAAGUAGUUCCGAAUAUAAAAUUCUCUUCUCUAGUACCAAGAGAUUCUGCAAUUCUAGGUCACUUGAGGACACUGUUGUCGCCUUGCACGCAGAAGAUAUGAUAGCUUUGUAACGGCAAAGAGGGGUUACAUAUAAGCUUUGUAACCGUUGCAAAUGCUUUUUAACUGUAUUUUUGGCGUGCAGUAACAAAAGGUAGUAACGGUCACCAAAAUAAAUAACCACCUAAAUGCGGUCACAUAAAGUAAUGGGUUGGAUGCAAGUUUUGUGACUGGUGGAAGCUGUCACAAAUUUGUAAUGCUUAAUUUUUUCAUAAUUUUGUGAUAUUUGAUUAUUUGUCAAUAUUUUAU
This 574-nucleotide long non-coding RNA is filed under the name Citrus sinensis (sweet orange). RNAcentral describes it as "long non-coding RNA (CSIN_LNC005448)". The record is from RNAcentral. Lineage: Eukaryota; Viridiplantae; Streptophyta; Magnoliopsida; Sapindales; Rutaceae.